This is a small nuclear RNA of Mastomys coucha (southern multimammate mouse), 104 nucleotides long. Lineage: Eukaryota; Metazoa; Chordata; Mammalia; Rodentia; Muridae. The record is from RefSeq and is a predicted model, not a curated record.
GUGCUCGCUUCGGCAGCACGUAUACUAAAACUGGAACAAUGCAGAGGUUAGCAUGGGCUCUGUGCAAAGAUGACACGUAAGUUAGUGAAGCAUCCCAUACUUUG